This 201-nucleotide unclassified non-coding RNA is filed under the name Hevea brasiliensis (rubber tree). Lineage: Eukaryota; Viridiplantae; Streptophyta; Magnoliopsida; Malpighiales; Euphorbiaceae. The record is from RNAcentral.
UCACAAUAAAAUUGCCCAGCCCAACUGCACCUCUUUUGAGAAGGUGAGACAACUUGGGAACUGGUUAGGAGAUGUUUACUUGGGAGAAGGCAAAAGAACAGACCUCGGGAAUUCUAGAGACCCAUUAUUGGGAGCGCCCUGUAUCUUGAGAAUUGAAGUAACCAAGUUGUAAAUCUGAACAUUCUCAAAAGAUGGCACCUU